CCGGGGGCGCGCAGGCGCUCAGCAGUGUUGGGGCGAGGGCGGAGGUGGUAAAGGGUUGAAGACGGAGGAGGGAGUGCCUGGGAACAGGCGACACUUGCCUGGCGCGGUGCCUUGCAGCUGGCGGCGGGUGGGGCCGCCGGGCCGGCCGCCGCUUUCUUCUGUCGAUGGAGGCUGCUGACGGGAAAAGGAGCCGGGAGGGGAGCUCCCCGGCCCAGGCCCUUUCCCCUGAAAGUCUGCGAGAGCCUAGGGCCGGGUAAGCCAGGUAGAGGCUCUGGGCCGUGUUACAAACGGACGUUGCGAAUCGCAAAGAUCAGUCUUCUAGCCUUCUCCGUGCCUAUUACGGGCUCUUGUGACCAAUGGCGAGUCACUUACCCGGGCCUCAGUUUCCCCACUCUUCUAGAAGGCUGGCGACCUGAGAGUGGCCAAGAAGAAAAGAAAGUUCACGUCACAAACACUACCUGCCUAAGAACUUUUACAGAAAGCUUCUGACAAGACUUGAUGAGAUGCUGUGGCUGACAAGCAUAUGAAAAAGGAUUAAAUAACUUGAGCUCUGGAGUGAACAGUUAAAUCCCUGGAUUGUUGAAAGUUCCCUUCAUUACAUGGGACUCACCAUUUUUUGUGAGGUUUUGCGGUCCAGACUUAAAGGCUAGUUAUGGUUCUGAAUUGCCUUUAGGUUGCAAGAAUUACCAAUGUGGUAUGUAAUGCCGAAGAAGAAAAAAAUGUUAUGAUAAUCGUAAUUGUCUUAAUUGAUAAUUGCCAUCAUAGCUCUCCCCUGGAGAUAACUGAUGAGGCCUAAUAGUCGUUUUGAGCUGCAACCACCCACAAAAACCACACACAUGGCAUUUUACUCAAAUCUUUACUUUAACCACUACUUUGUGAUGCAAAACUGGUGGAAUUUUGGGUACUUUCUGUAAAAUUGAAAUCUUUAUGGGGGUUUUCCAGCAUUCUAGUUGAUUGUUAGCAAAUUAUCAGUAUACUGAACAAGAGCAAAGUGGGGUUUGCUACUAAACACCUACUUCUGUGGUAGGAUAGGAUGCCAGUCAUCUAUAUGUGAAUGUUUUCAUCAGGAGGAAGCCACCUUCAUUCAAAGAACAGAUUCUCCUUUUGAAAAAUGCUGUUAAGUAAGAAGUGUUAUAUGAGAUUGGUAGCUGUAAAAGAGAGAUUUUAAGAGCUUCUUUGCCACAGUUUUCAGUCUUGACAAAGUACUCAUAUUCAGUACUUUCUAAUUUGUAGAACCCUUGUAAAAGUAGAUUUGUAAAGAAAAGCAAAUCAAUUUGCAUCGUAGGACAAAGCGCAAUUCUCCCUAAGAACUUUCUGUGAAAGGAGAACUGUUGUGGCGAACUGAUUUCUGAUGCGAUACUACAGCCCCAUUCUGAAAGACAGGUAGCAAGUGGGAAGACCGUGCUCUAUAUUUGGCUAAGUCAGGAGACCUUUGUUUGUUCUGGAACUGAGUCCGUAGGCCAAUUGCUUCACCUCUCGAUGUCUCAAUUUCUUUUCUCUCUUUUUCUCUUACAGUAAUCUCUACGCCCAACAUGGGGCUUGAACUCAUGAUCCCGAGAUCAAGAGUCGCAUGCUCUACCACCAAGGCCAGCCAGGCACCCCUCUAAGUCUCAAUGUCUUAUCUUUAAAAUUAGUUUCACUCCUGCUGUAUGGUCUGGUAGAUAAAGCAUAUUGUCUCAAGAGCCUUCUAGGAGCCCUUUGUAAUAUCCUGUCUUAUAUAAAAGUGACUUUUAUUGUCAUAUAAUUUACACCUUCUAUCAAGCACCUAUUCUUUAAAAAUCUGUAAAAACAUUAUUUUAGCAAAAACCAACUCUACUUCUAGAAGUAUGUAGUUAUACCCCUUUUGUGUUUAGUGUUUUUGAAGGAGUAAAUUUCCAUCUAUGCAGCCCAGUAGUCAGCCUUAAAAUAACUGUCAGAAACUUCCAGGCUAUUUCUCAUUCAUGCAUUACCAUGCUCAGUAGGAGGAUAGUAGACCAUGCUCAGUAGGAGGAUAGAGAAAUCUAGAAUUGAAUUUUUAACAGGUUACUUCCUUAGUUUACUGUGAAGAUCUUGAUAAUUUCCCACUAGCACAUAAGUAAAGCUUUGUUUAGUUUGCUGUACUGCAUAGACUGUGUUGGUUAGCUUCCAGAAAUAAAGUAUGCUUGCUUUAUAAUUUAUGUUGGGAAAUAUUUAAACAGGAUGAAAGAGCAGUUUUUACAGGACCCAAAUCAAGCAAUCCAUUUUCAGAAGGCACACCAAAUAAAAAAAUUGGCUGAGUGAAGAACAAUGAAUAAGAAGCAUGAACUUGGAAACAAACCAAUUAAGUUGAAUCAAAUUUUAAAGAAUGAAAUAAAAGAAGUUGUAUUUUGUAUGUGUGUGGGAACCUUCCAGUGAACUGGAUGGGACCGGAGAGACAAAGCACACACACUGCCACGCCGUCCUGAGCAGCCUGAGAGACGAAAGAGAAACCCGAAGAGGAGCGCAGGUGGUGGGCUUCAGCAGAGACGGCGCUUUGGUUUACAGGUUCAAGUGCAUGUUGAUCUUGGGCCUGCCUUGUUACGGAAAAAUUUGGUGGAGAUACACUGCAUUGACUGGAAAAUUAUUCAUUUGUUUCUUUUAAGUUAUCAAAUUUAUAACGUAGGAGCAGUGGUUAUGAAACUAGUCAUUUAACUGGAAUUCAAUCCUGACCUAGUUCCCAACAUUGGGUGGUAAUUAUUCGUAUUUACCAAAGCAUAGAGAGAAUCAGUGUUAAAAGAGCAAGCAGGCGGGCAUUGCUUUGAGGAGGGAACACGUUUUACUACCUUUGGGUAGACAAGUCAGCUUAGUGCUGUGAAGCAUUUCUGACUGUCUUGUUGAAGGCCUCCACGCCCUGGACAUGAAGGAAAAGAAACGGCAACUGUUCUGUUGCAGACAGCAAGUCAGAGCCCCCAGUCCCAGGAGAGCCCCGGAGGCUGGAGCCUCAGCAGAACCCAUGCCUGACUUUCCCUCGGCAUGUCCGGGCGCUCACUGCUGAGGACAGUCUGCUUGGCAGCCACUCAUCUAGAAGAAUGAAUGAACGUCGUAUUAAACACUCCCUGAUAUUUGUUCAAGUCGAUCUCCUCAGAGUUCUCCCUAAUCAGCUUGACAUCGUUGAUAGCUGCCAUCAGUUGGUAUAAGAAAGGCCAUUCAGUCUCCAUCCUUUUUUUUGGAUAUCUACAGCUUACACCUGAAAACAGUUUUUCUCACCACUGUUUAACCAGUGGGCCAAGACGACUCCUGCUACCUCUCUUCCUUGUGCCCACAUGUUUUUCUCCUAAAAAGUAUGCAUCAUAGGUUCAACUGAAGAGGCUGUUCUAAGAAAGAUGACUGAGGAAAAAACACUUGGCAUUUAUCUGUGAACCUACAAACACACGCGCAUCCGUAAGCCUCACUACUGAGCUGCUUCACCUACAACAGCGUUCCGUCGAACAGUGUAUCCUUCUGUGGGUUUAUAGGUUGGCAAACUCUUGACUGAAGUGGUUUUACUUAAGGUCAGCCCUGCCUAGAUAGACUCAAAGAAGAGAGGAGAAAAUCCUCUCUUACUGUUCAUAGACUCCAGCAAGAGUUGAGGGGCAAGUCACCAGCACUGUCACUGCCGUGACAGUGACUUGGAAGAAAGCAGCAUACAGCUUGAGUUCUUAAGGGUGAAAGAGAUCAUGAGCUGUCUGGAGAUUCUCUCAAUUCCUCAAUCCUUUCCAGAUCCCCCAUUUUACUCACCUGCCCUGUGCACUCUGACCCUGAAGACUGACUAGCUUGUUCCCAUAAGUCUCCUCUCUCCCUCCUGACACCUACAUCCCUGCUCUGGACAAGGACCCUCUUUAGUAGUUCAUGAACUCCCACCAGCACUUUGCAAGUUGCUUCAUUGAACUGUAGCGCUAACGACGGCGUAAGAGACACUUUGGUUCAACUCUACUUUAUAGGUGGUCACGCCAAGGCCCUGAAAAGCAGUGGGUUUGUGAAAGGAGAAAUUGAAAGCCUCGUCCACCUGUGUAACUGCACGCACACAGGACUACACCUAAAUACCAGUAGCUUUUCCUUCCCACGUUCCUUAGCAACACGCCAGCAGGCCUCAUUAUCAAGAGGUGUCUUCAAGACGCCUGAGUGUAUGUACGGUUGGCCCUUGAACAUCAUGGGGCUUCAGAGGCACUGACUCCCGCACAGUUGAAAACCUGCACAGAGCUUGUGACUCCCCAAAAACUUAACAAUAGUCUACUGCUGAUGGAAUCAAUAUCAAUUAACAUAUUUUGUAUGGGGGCACGUCUGCCUUCGGCUCAGGGCAUGAUCCUGGAGUCCUGGGAUCGAACCCUGCAUCGGGCUCCCUGCUCAGUGGGGAGCUUGCUUCUCCC
This is a long non-coding RNA of Ailuropoda melanoleuca (giant panda), 4343 nucleotides long. RefSeq lists it as uncharacterized. The transcript is spliced from 7 exons. The record is from RefSeq and is a predicted model, not a curated record. Lineage: Eukaryota; Metazoa; Chordata; Mammalia; Carnivora; Ursidae.